CAACUGGGCCUCAGGUGUUAGGCCGGAAGGGGUACGCACUGGGCUAGAAGGUGCGGGAGAGGCAGGCCAGGCCAGAGAGAGAGUUGGGCCAGGAGAGAGGGAGAAUAGGUCGAGCUAAAAGGGAAGGGUGGGCCAGAAUAGGGGUUUUCCAUUUAUAAGGGAAGGGUUUUGGAUAUAAAUUUGAAUUGUAUUUCAAGUUGAAUAGGGUAUAGAGUAUGGGUUUGGAAUGGACAUAGAAAUGAGAUCUUUUAAAAAGGUUUGAGGUCUAAUGAAUACAGCUAGGAUUGGGAAGGGACCUUGUGGAUGUAUUUAGAUUAAAUCUGAAUGUUAGUUCUAGGAUUUUGGGAAUUGAGUUCCUAUGAUUUGGAGGGUUGGAUUUAGAGUAGAAUUUCUAAGACAAUCAAAUGCAUCACAUAUGUAGGUUCAAUGCAUGGUUGAUUUGUAAAUUAGGUUUGAAUAUUUUGGGAAGAGGAGUUUAGUUCAUAUUUAAAGAAAAAUUUUAAAAAGUUCAAAUUUUUAAAUGCUCUAAAAAGCAAGAUGUUACACGAUACCUACCCAAAGUAACCAAGGUAACCAUCGGAUCAUCCAGUGACCUCACUAACUUUUACUACAUUUGGAGCAACAGCUCCUUAGCUUUGAAGUGUUGGGCUAUUUUUACCUCCUCUUCUCACGUAGUUGGAGUUGUAGAAGUGUGUUAAAGAUCAUUGCAGUGUAAGACACAUCAAGAACACAUCCAUGCCACAAAAGCGCUAAAGUGAUCAUCCA
RNAcentral lists this long non-coding RNA (765 nucleotides) under Setaria viridis. Its description in RNAcentral is "long non-coding RNA (SVIR_LNC011034)". Lineage: Eukaryota; Viridiplantae; Streptophyta; Magnoliopsida; Poales; Poaceae. The record is from RNAcentral.